RNAcentral lists this ribosomal RNA (588 nucleotides) under uncultured bacterium. Its description in RNAcentral is "partial 16S ribosomal RNA". It matches the Rfam family "Bacterial small subunit ribosomal RNA", at positions 355 to 1376 of the family's 1533-position model. The record is from RNAcentral.
UGGGGAAUCUUCCGCAAUGGACGAAAGUCUGACGGAGCAACGCCGCGUGAGUGAAGAAGGUUUUCGGAUCGUAAAACUCUGUCUUUUGGGGCGAACGUGAGUAUGGUGAACAAUCAUAGUCAGUGACGGUACCAAAGGAGGAAGCCACGGCUAACUACGUGCCAGCAGCCGCGGUAAUACGUAGGUGGCAAGCGUUGUCCGGAAUUAUUGGGCGUAAAGAGCGCGUAGGCGGGAUAGUCAGUCUGUUGUAAAGUGCGGGGCUCAACCCCGUGAUCGCAAUGGAAACAGCUAUUCUUGAGUGCAGGAGAGGAAAGUGGAAUUCCCAGUGUAGCGGUGAAAUGCGUAGAUAUUGGGAGGAACACCAGUGGCGAAGGCGACUUUCUGGACUGUGUCUGACGCUGAGGCGCGAAAGCCAGGGGAGCGAACGGGAUUAGAUACCCCGGUAGUCCUGGCCGUAAACGAUGGGUACUAGGUGUGGGAGGUAUCGACCCCUUCCGUGCCGGAGUUAACGCAAUAAGUACCCCGCCUGGGGAGUACGGUCGCAAGACUGAAACUCAAAUGAAUUGGCGGGGUCAUAGCUGUUUCCUG